This 270-nucleotide ribosomal RNA is filed under the name uncultured archaeon. RNAcentral describes it as "partial 16S ribosomal RNA". It matches the Rfam family "Archaeal small subunit ribosomal RNA", at positions 477 to 747 of the family's 1478-position model. The record is from RNAcentral.
CAGCACCUCAAGUGGUCAGGAUGAUUAUUGGGCCUAAAGAAUCCGUAGCCGGCGCUGUAAGUUUUCGGUUAAAUCUGUACGCUCAACGUACAGGCUGCCGGGAAUACUGCAGCGCUAGGGAGUGGGAGAGGUAGACGGUACUCGGUAGGAAGGGGUAAAAUCCUUUGAUCUAUUGAUGACCACCUGUGGCGAAGGCGGUCUACCAGAACACGUCCGACGGUGAGGGAUGAAAGCUGGGGGAGCAAACCGGAUUAGAGACCCGAGUAGUCC